This 2633-nucleotide ribosomal RNA is filed under the name Escherichia coli. RNAcentral describes it as "partial 23S ribosomal RNA". It matches the Rfam family "Bacterial large subunit ribosomal RNA". Lineage: Bacteria; Pseudomonadati; Pseudomonadota; Gammaproteobacteria; Enterobacterales; Enterobacteriaceae. The record is from RNAcentral.
GGGUUGUGAGGUUAAGCGACUAAGCGUACACGGUGGAUGCCCUGGCAGUCAGAGGCGAUGAAGGACGUGCUAAUCUGCGAUAAGCGUCGGUGAGGUGAUAUGAACCGUUAUAACCGGCGAUUUCCGAAUGGGGAAACCCAGUGUGUUUCGACACACUAUCAUUAACUGAAUCCAUAGGUUAAUGAGGCGAACCGGGGGAACUGAAACAUCUAAGUACCCCGAGGAAAAGAAAUCAACCGAGAUUCCCCCAGUAGCGGCGAGCGAACGGGGAGGAGCCCAGAGCCUGAAUCAGUGUGUGUGUUAGUGGAAGCGUCUGGAAAGGCGCGCGAUACAGGGUGACAGCCCCGUACACAAAAAUGCACAUACUGUGAGCUCGAUGAGUAGGGCGGGACACGUGGUAUCCUGUCUGAAUAUGGGGGGACCAUCCUCCAAGGCUAAAUACUCCUGACUGACCGAUAGUGAACCAGUACCGUGAGGGAAAGGCGAAAAGAACCCCGGCGAGGGGAGUGAAAAAGAACCUGAAACCGUGUACGUACAAGCAGUGGGAGCCUCUUAAUGGGGUGACUGCGUACCUUUUGUAUAAUGGGUCAGCGACUUAUAUUCUGUAGCAAGGUUAACCGAAUAGGGGAGCCGAAGGGAAACCGAGUCUUAACUGGGCGUUAAGUUGCAGGGUAUAGACCCGAAACCCGGUGAUCUAGCCAUGGGCAGGUUGAAGGUUGGGUAACACUAACUGGAGGACCGAACCGACUAAUGUUGAAAAAUUAGCGGAUGACUUGUGGCUGGGGGUGAAAGGCCAAUCAAACCGGGAGAUAGCUGGUUCUCCCCGAAAGCUAUUUAGGUAGCGCCUCGUGAAUUCAUCUCCGGGGGUAGAGCACUGUUUCGGCAAGGGGGUCAUCCCGACUUACCAACCCGAUGCAAACUGCGAAUACCGGAGAAUGUUAUCACGGGAGACACACGGCGGGUGCUAACGUCCGUCGUGAAGAGGGAAACAACCCAGACCGCCAGCUAAGGUCCCAAAGUCAUGGUUAAGUGGGAAACGAUGUGGGAAGGCCCAGACAGCCAGGAUGUUGGCUUAGAAGCAGCCAUCAUUUAAAGAAAGCGUAAUAGCUCACUGGUCGAGUCGGCCUGCGCGGAAGAUGUAACGGGGCUAAACCAUGCACCGAAGCUGCGGCAGCGACGCUUAUGCGUUGUUGGGUAGGGGAGCGUUCUGUAAGCCUGUGAAGGUGUGCUGUGAGGCAUGCUGGAGGUAUCAGAAGUGCGAAUGCUGACAUAAGUAACGAUAAAGCGGGUGAAAAGCCCGCUCGCCGGAAGACCAAGGGUUCCUGUCCAACGUUAAUCGGGGCAGGGUGAGUCGAUCCCUAAGGCGAGGCCGAAAGGCGUAGUCGAUGGGAAACAGGUUAAUAUUCCUGUACUUGGUGUUACUGCGAAGGGGGGACGGAGAAGGCUAUGUUGGCCGGGCGACGGUUGUCCCGGUUUAAGCGUGUAGGCUGGUUUUCCAGGCAAAUCCGGAAAACCAAGGCUGAGGCGUGAUGACGAGGCACUACGGUGCUGAAGCGACAAAUGCCCUGCUUCCAGGAAAAGCCUCUAAGCAUCAGGUAACAUCAAAUCGUACCCCAAACCGACACAGGUGGUCAGGUAGAGAAUACCAAGGCGCUUGAGAGAACUCGGGUGAAGGAACUAGGCAAAAUGGUGCCGUAACUUCGGGAGAAGGCACGCUGAUAUGUAGGUGAAGCGACUUGCUCGUGGAGCUGAAAUCAGUCGAAGAUACCAGCUGGCUGCAACUGUUUAUUAAAAACACAGCACUGUGCAAACACGAAAGUGGACGUAUACGGUGUGACGCCUGCCCGGUGCCGGAAGGUUAAUUGAUGGGGUUAGCGGCAACGCGAAGCUCUUGAUCGAAGCCCCGGUAAACGGCGGCCGUAACUAUAACGGUCCUAAGGUAGCGAAAUUCCUUGUCGGGUAAGUUCCGACCUGCACGAAUGGCGUAAUGAUGGCCAGGCUGUCUCCACCCGAGACUCAGUGAAAUUGAACUCGCUGUGAAGAUGCAGUGUACCCGCGGCAAGACGGAAAGACCCCGUGAACCUUUACUAUAGCUUGACACUGAACAUUGAGCCUUGAUGUGUAGGAUAGGUGGGAGGCUUUGAAGUGUGGACGCCAGUCUGCAUGGAGCCGACCUUGAAAUACCACCCUUUAAUGUUUGAUGUUCUAACGUUGGCCCCUAAUCGGGGUUGCGGACAGUGUCUGGUGGGUAGUUUGACUGGGGCGGUCUCCUCCUAAAGAGUAACGGAGGAGCACGAAGGUUGGCUAAUCCUGGUCGGACAUCAGGAGGUUAGUGCAAUGGCAUAAGCCAGCUUGACUGCGAGCGUGACGGCGCGAGCAGGUGCGAAAGCAGGUCAUAGUGAUCCGGUGGUUCUGAAUGGAAGGGCCAUCGCUCAACGGAUAAAAGGUACUCCGGGGAUAACAGGCUGAUACCGCCCAAGAGUUCAUAUCGACGGCGGUGUUUGGCACCUCGAUGUCGGCUCAUCACAUCCUGGGGCUGAAGUAGGUCCCAAGGGUAUGGCUGUUCGCCAUUUAAAGUGGUACGCGAGCUGGGUUUAGAACGUCGUGAGACAGUUCGGUCCCUAUCUGCCGUG